Molecule: non-coding RNA, 27 nt
Filed under: Mus musculus (house mouse)
Lineage: Eukaryota; Metazoa; Chordata; Mammalia; Rodentia; Muridae
Source: RNAcentral
UAGAACUACCCAGACACACCCAUUGUA